GAUGAACGCUGGCGGCGUGCCUAAUACAUGCAAGUCGAGCGAAUGGAUUAAGAGCUUGCUCUUAUGAAGUUAGCGGCGGACGGGUGAGUAACACGUGGGUAACCUGCCCAUAAGACUGGGAUAACUCCGGGAAACCGGGGCUAAUACCGGAUAACAUUUUGAACCGCAUGGUUCGAAAUUGAAAGGCGGCUUCGGCUGUCACUUCUGGAUGGCACAGCGUCGCAUUAGCUAGUUGGUGAGGUAACGGCUCACCAAGGCAACGGUGCGUAGCCGACCUGAGAGGGUGAUCGGCCACACUGGGACUGAGACACGGCCCAGACUCCUACGGGAGGCAGCAGUAGGGAAUCUUCCGCAAUGGACGAAAGUCUGACGGAGCAACGCCGCGUGAGUGAUGAAGGCUUUCGGGUCGUAAAACUCUGUUGUUAGGGAAGAACAAGUGCUAGUUGAAUAAGCUGACACCUUGACGGUACCUAACCAGAAAGCCACGGCUAACUACGUGCCAGCCGCCGCAGUAA
Molecule: ribosomal RNA, 515 nt
Filed under: uncultured bacterium
Lineage: Bacteria
Description: partial 16S ribosomal RNA
Rfam family: Bacterial small subunit ribosomal RNA
Source: RNAcentral